Carassius auratus (goldfish) is the source of this 71-nucleotide small nucleolar RNA. Its record names the gene SNORD83. It matches the Rfam family "Small nucleolar RNA SNORD83". From Rfam's summary of the family: U83 (SNORD83) and U84 (SNORD84) are members of the C/D class of snoRNA which contain the C (UGAUGA) and D (CUGA) box motifs. They act as guanine methylation guides but lack complementarity to ribosomal RNA. U83 and U84 are spliced from introns 5 and 4 of the BAT1 gene in mammals. NCBI's taxonomy places the organism in Eukaryota, Metazoa, Chordata, Actinopteri, Cypriniformes, Cyprinidae. The record is from Ensembl.
GCCACAUGAAGUAGAUGGCAUUAGCACAACUGCAAAGAUGACCGUCCAUCUAUCACCCGAGACUGAUGGCU